This is a non-coding RNA of Leptonychotes weddellii (Weddell seal), 2969 nucleotides long. Lineage: Eukaryota; Metazoa; Chordata; Mammalia; Carnivora; Phocidae. The record is from RefSeq and is a predicted model, not a curated record.
AUUUUGAAGUGCUCCAUGAUGCCAAUGCAGGUGGAUGGGGAGCCGUGGGCCCAGGGGCCCUGCACUGUCACCAUAACUCACAAGACACACGCACUGAUGUUGUAUUUCUCUGGAGAACAGACGGAUGAGGACAUCUCCAGUACUUCAGAUCAAGAGGACUUAAAGGAAACCGAGUUGACGGAUGAGGAAAUGCAAGUUUAGAGGAGAAUCCUCACACACACGUAGAUACAUGGUCAUCCAAAAGUUAGAAAUUCCCUAUCAACUGUUUAGUCUUAAUUUCACCAGUAGUGUAAUGGGGAUACGUUUAUGUAAAUAGCAUUCCAGAAACAGCCAAAUUUCCAGUUAUUUACAGACACCUGUUCCUUUUUCAGCAAAACACCCCAGUCGUAUUGAACUAACUUGAAAAAGUCACAGAACGUUAAUUACUCAAAGAUUUCUCUCAUCCUUUGCUGUCCUGGUGCAUUCCCAACUCCUUCAGCUUAGCGGCUUAAACACGAAGUACCUGGCAGCUCGUAUGGAUCCCAUAAGUAGAUGGUGAUAAUUUCAGUGCUUUGUUAUGUUCAGUAGAAAUCAAACUGACUUGUGUUUUAAAAUACAGGUUGUCUGAUAGAUUACAUGAUCUUAAAUGAGUUUUAGGUUUUCUGCAACAAUUAGCUGUGAACCCUUAAUGUAGCUAAUGUUUAUAAAAAUUUUAUAUAGUCAGAAUUACUUAUUUUUAUUUUUGUAGGGUGUGUCAAAACAUGUAGUAUUUGCUUUUUGAAAUAUGUUUGCCUACUUAGAGUUGUAAAAUAUUCUGUGACUCAGAAAUUGUAAAGUCCUUUGACAUACUACCAGCAUGUCAAAAGAAAAAUAGUUUGCAUUUGUAAUAUAAAGCAAAAUUGUAUUUACUGUAUAUUAUGGAAUUUUAAAUUUGCACUAACUAGAAUACUUUAAAGGUUUAUUAAUUUACAGAUUCAUGUGGAUCCGAAUACAUAAUCUUUACUUGUUCGGCCAAAAAGGUCAAUAGAAUAGGUGAUAGUUUUGCGUGGUUUUUCCUUGAGAUGAUAAUAUUGAAGCAAGAACCAGCACUUUAUAUUCGGAGGUUUUUUUAAUUCUACCUAAUUUGGGACGAUGGAAUAUAAGUAGAUUUAUUUUAAAAAUUAUCUAGGAAUUUAAAAAGAAAAAAGAGUGUUGUUAUCUGUCCCAGUCUGAAUGAAGGUAUGUUCUCAGCGACAAGAUGGAAGCAGUGGUUUUGGUUUUGCUUUUAAAAUAUGCCCCUGCCUUUCUCAAAUUUUCCCUUUAAGGCCUGUCUCCUGUUACUCAAAGUGUGAUCUGCACGUUGCCUGCAGCCUCAGAAACCCCUGGGCGCUGACAGCCUCUGAUGCCGAAGCCCAGCCCCUGACUUGAGGAAUCCGUGUCUCCGGAGAUGGGACAGAGACAUCUCCGGUUUUAUUCACAGGCAUCUCGGGUGCUCAUGAUGCACACUGACAUUUUUCAAGCGACUGGUCCGUACCUCGCGUUCACCCAGGGCUUUUGCUGGAUGGAUACCUGGUAGAAAAAUUGAAUUGGGUGUUCUUAAAGUUGUUUUUCCUUCACUCCACUGGAGUUCUUCCCCCCAAAUCAUUCUUCUAGAGGAAUUCUAUGAACAGUUUGUUCCUGUCCUCUCCAAAUUCAUGUAUCCGUCUAGACUCAAUUACAUAAAAAUUGGUAGCCUCAGAUCCUUCCGUGGAAACAGGUUUUGAACUGUGAUCCAUGGAGUCUCAGAGAACAAGCAGUGCUGGGGGCCAGUGGAGUGGACCCCCAGGGGCUCCUGCUUUCUCACUUCACUCAGUGCAGGCCCCUGCUGGACGCUGCUUCAGAUAAGACUUCGGUAGGUAAAAUACUUCCUCUUUUUGAAGGAAUAAAAAAAAAAAAAGGAUUCCACUAUUUUUUAAGGGUUUGGAAGCCACUAUUCUAAUGACUUUUGUCAGCUGGUUCAUUUUCUGCUGAUUUGUACAUAUUCAGAAACCUCAUGUUUUUUGGUGAAAAAUACUUCGAUGGUCUCGGUUGCUGCUUGGAAUGUGACUAUUGGGCUAUUUCUCAAGUUUUAAAGGCAUUUUGUUGAAUAGUAAAGCACUGGCUUAACCUCCGAUUCUCCUGUUUCUAAUUUUAGCGUAGAAAUGGUCUGAGUAUUUAGUUAAUUUCAGUUCUGUAAAUACACACACCCGUUUACCCCCACAGCCCUGCCUGUAGUCAUGCAUGAGGCUUGCAGGGAUCCAAAAGGGACAUGCCAAGGAUCUGGAGGAAGAAUCCAAAAAUGUCCCUCUCUCAUACAGAAGUUCACCAAACUUAAAUGAUUGAACCUAGUCACCUGCAGAAACAUCAGAAGCCGUAGAUACGAGUGUAUUGCUGAUGCUAGACACUCCCUCUCUGCAGCUCACUUCCUGGGCUGCCUCACCACGAAAGGGAAGUGUCCACGCAGGACGCCCUGCGCAGAUCAACCAUAGGAAAUUUCCACUGUGUGGUGCUUUUUGGUGACCGAUGUGGGAAGAUGGAAAGGAGAGCUGGGAAGUUAGGUUGCUGCCCUUGUUCCCCUCACACUGUCCAGGUGACAGGGCAUCCGUCACGUGCACAGACUCUGCCACGUGUGAGAACAUUGCUGCCGGAAUGGGCACUGUGACUCGUAAUUCUGUUUUCUACACGUUUAGAGCAGCCUGGAUCCUUGGCCUCGAUCACUCGCAGGUGAGCUGGCUGAACUGGCUCUCUGAGCCCACAGUGUCAACACUUGGGAUGGCUCCAGCCACGCACACCAACUGGCCUUUGCCCUUUCUCCCCACCCCUGGCCACAGUGCCACGUACCUACUGCUUAAGUACCCUGCGUUACUCGCUUUGUUGUGUUUGCUCUGUAUUGUGGUCGAUGCCUACAGACAGAGAAAUGUGAAUUAAAGCAUUUGAUAUGUUGGAAACGUUUGUUUUUUAAUAAAAUUUAAAGUGCAGCACUCCAAAAAGUA